RNAcentral lists this ribosomal RNA (444 nucleotides) under uncultured bacterium. Its description in RNAcentral is "SSU rRNA". It matches the Rfam family "Bacterial small subunit ribosomal RNA", at positions 26 to 518 of the family's 1533-position model. The record is from RNAcentral.
AGAACGAACGCUGGCGGCAGGCCUCAAACAUGCAAGUCUAGGGGGUAGCAAUACCACCGGCGGACGGGUGCGUAACGCGUGGGAAUGUACCUACUGGUUCGGAACAACUGCGGGAAACUGCAGCUAAUACCGAAUGUGCCCGCAAGGGGAAAGAUUUAUCGCCAGUAGAUCAGCCCGCGUAGGAUUAGCUAGUUGGUGGGGUAAUGGCUCACCAAGGCUCCGAUCCUUAGCUAUUCUGAGAGGAAGAUCAGCCACACUGGGACUGAGACACGGCCCAGACUCCUACGGGAGGCAGCAGUUGGGAAUCUUGGACAAUGGGGGAAACCCUGAUCCAGCCAUGCCGCGUGAGUGAUGAAGGCCUUCGGGUUGUAAAACUCUUUCGGACGGGACGAUAAUGACGGUACCCGUAGAAGAAGCUCCGGCUAACUUCGUGCCAGCAGCCGC